UACGGAAGGGGCUAGCGUCGUUCGGAAUUACUGGGCGUAAAGCGCGCGUAGGCGGCUUGGCGAGUGAGGCGUGAAAGUCCUGGGCUCAACCUGGGGACGGCGUUUCAGACUGCCUGGCUUGAGUCCGGAAGAGGGUGGUGGAAUUCCGAGUGUAGAGGUGAAAUUCGUAGAUAUUCGGAGGAACACCGGUGGCGAAGGCGGCCACCUGGUCCGGAACUGACGCUGAAGUGCAAAAGCGUGGGGAGCAAACAGG
Molecule: ribosomal RNA, 253 nt
Filed under: uncultured bacterium
Lineage: Bacteria
Description: partial 16S ribosomal RNA
Rfam family: Bacterial small subunit ribosomal RNA
Source: RNAcentral